Long non-coding RNA from Gossypium arboreum, 1000 nucleotides. RefSeq lists it as uncharacterized. Lineage: Eukaryota; Viridiplantae; Streptophyta; Magnoliopsida; Malvales; Malvaceae. The transcript is spliced from 4 exons. The record is from RefSeq and is a predicted model, not a curated record.
GUCAUGAAUUAGUGUAACAAAUUAGCUUAAGCUUUCAAAUUUACCCUCACCGUUAUCCUUUGUUUCUCACGUCUAAAAUCUUUUCCUUUUCUUUUUCAUGCUUCUUCAUUCCACUGUAAUAUCAACAAAUUCCCAACUUAUCAAUUUAAACCUUUUUUUAAUCCCUUUCCCUCCGAACCGAAUCUGCAUUUUCUCUUCUUCUUUAACUCUUUUUCUCUUCAAUAUAUUGACAAAAUUGGAAAUUAUUGAUAGCUUACUCCAUUGAAAAAAAUAAAGUGAAACAUUUUUCGGGUUAUCUCGCAGGAUCGAAGAACUGUUAAUUUCUUGUAAGAAUGGUUGCAACCAAAAUGCAGAGAACAAAAUAUUAAAACAAGGGGUAUUUAGUUACUAUCCUUAUCGAAAAGGAGUGCGGCUUGUGGAGUUUCUACAUAAUGUGCCUAAUCUAAAGACCCUUAUUCUAGAUCUGGCUGAUGGUGAAAAAGGAUUGAAGUCACUACCUAUACUUUCUUGUUUAUCAUUUCAUGUCAAGGUGACCAAAAUUUCUAGAGUUGAUGAAAUCAGAUAUGUGUUUAAAAUGAUUAGUUAUUUCUUGAACCAUGUAAUGGUUCUGGAGAAGCUCAGAAUGAUUAAUCUGCUUGAAAGAAGUAAAUUGUGUAUCUUCAAAAAGCUGUUGAGGUUACCAAUGAAUUCAAAGAAAUGUGAAGUCCUAGUACACUAGUAUUUCUUAUGUUAUGGUUGGAACUGUUCACCGUCUCUAUAGGUUUGGUUUUGUAUAGCACUUUGGAGAAAUUAAAUGCCAUAUGGUGUUAUGGUUAAAUUGUUCAUUGUCUGCUAUUUGUGUAUUUGAUUUAUGUAACAGAGUUAGAACAGUUUGUUGAAUGUAGUGGGUUUGAUUUAUUUUUGGUUUUUUGGUCAUUUUAUAAUCAUGGAACACCAUUGAUGUAUAAUAAGUCACAUUGGAAUGGUAUCCCAAAUCAUAGAGCAGCAGCGCUUACUCUUG